CCUACGGGAGGCAGCAGUGGGGAAUUUUGGACAAUGGGCGCAAGCCUGAUCCAGCCAUGCCGCGUGCAGGAUGAAGGCCUUCGGGUUGUAAACUGCUUUUGUACGGAACGAAAAGGUUUGGCCUAAUAAGCUGAGCUCAUGACGGUACCGUAAGAAUAAGCACCGGCUAACUACGUGCCAGCAGCCGCGGUAAUACGUAGGGUGCGAGCGUUAAUCGGAAUUACUGGGCGUAAAGCGUGCGCAGGCGGUUAUGUAAGACAGAUGUGAAAUCCCCGGGCUCAACCUGGGAACUGCAUUAGUGACUGCAUAGCUGGAGUACGGCAGAGGGGGGAUGGAAUUCCGCGUGUAGCAGUGAAAUGCGUAGAUAUGCGGAGGAACACCGAUGGCGAAGGCAAUCCCCUGGGCCUGUACUGACGCUCAUGCACGAAAGCGUGGGGAGCAAACAGGAUUAGAUGCCCUGGUAGUCCACGCCCUAAACGAUGUCAACUGGUUGUUGGGUCUUCACUGACUCAGUAACGAAGCUAACGCGUGAAGUUGACCGCCUGGGGAGUACGGCCGCGAAGGUUGAAACUCAAAGGAUUGACGGCUUGAGCGNGCGAGGCGACGACGAGGGAGGAGG
RNAcentral lists this ribosomal RNA (619 nucleotides) under uncultured bacterium. RNAcentral's name for it is "bacterial SSU rRNA". It matches the Rfam family "Bacterial small subunit ribosomal RNA", at positions 338 to 951 of the family's 1533-position model. The record is from RNAcentral.